AAAAGACGGUCUUUCUCGCGGACUCAGUCAGUCAGCCCAUCCCCAGCCUACGGCGCAGUGAAGUCUCCAGGUGCGAGGUAGGCUCCCCCGGCUCAGCCCUCUGGAGUUGAACCGCGCGCCCCCUCCAGCCUGGAGCUGCCCUCUACCCGGUGGCCCAGCUCAGGAUUCUUUCUCGGCCAACAGAGCUCUGCUCUGAUCAGCCCAUCACCCCCUCUUGUCUUUGUGCUUCACAUAAAGCAACACCUUGACGUAGAGACUGUCCUCACACCUCAGCACCCAGGACAGAGGUCAGGGACAGAAGGUUGGCUUUAGUGCCCACCUUUCCUGUGCGGGCAAAGGCCUCGGCCACCUUGCGGUUCCGCCCUCCGUAGCAGGUAGUGAUGAGGUCAGCGACAC
This is a long non-coding RNA of Eptesicus fuscus (big brown bat), 396 nucleotides long. RefSeq lists it as uncharacterized. NCBI's taxonomy places the organism in Eukaryota, Metazoa, Chordata, Mammalia, Chiroptera, Vespertilionidae. The transcript has 3 exons. The record is from RefSeq and is a predicted model, not a curated record.